This 112-nucleotide antisense RNA is filed under the name Genlisea aurea. RNAcentral describes it as "Antisense RNA which regulates isiA expression". It matches the Rfam family "Antisense RNA which regulates isiA expression", at positions 76 to 187 of the family's 187-position model. The record is from Rfam by way of RNAcentral. Lineage: Eukaryota; Viridiplantae; Streptophyta; Magnoliopsida; Lamiales; Lentibulariaceae.
UAUCAUAAAUACCUCCAAGAUACAUAGCUUUCCAUACAAGCAAAUAAGCACCAAAACCUAAAAGACAUAAAUGAAUUCCUAGAAUAGUAGUCAUCUUAUUUUUAUCUUUCCA